Molecule: non-coding RNA, 767 nt
Organism: Chlorocebus sabaeus (green monkey)
Lineage: Eukaryota; Metazoa; Chordata; Mammalia; Primates; Cercopithecidae
Source: RefSeq, a predicted model, not a curated record
AAGUGCUGGGAUUGCAGACGUGAACCCCUGUGCCUGGAUGACUUAUUUUUAAAUAAUUUCUGAAAAUGCACAAAGCUUAAUUAUGUAGCUUUGUAUAUUUUCAAAAAUGUAUACACUUCUGUAACUAUUACCCAAUUCAAGAUUAAAAAACAACAACAACAACAACAAAAUUUCUUUCACCUCUGAAGUCUCCCUUAUAUUUCUUAUCAUUUCCAUUUUAUGCCUUUGUCCCAAAAAAGUAAUCACUCUUCUGACUUCUAUCAGUACAGGUCGGUGAAAACAUCUUUGAUCCUCCAUUGACCCAUUGGCCUUUGGGAGCCACCGAAAUAGACCAAUGAACCCCUGAAGAUAUCCACAGAUGAAUUUUAUUUAAUUUUUAUUCACUAUAAAGUGUACUGUUAAUUCUAUAUUUUUAUUUGUGCAAUAAUCUAUAGAGAGAUUAUAUGCUAUAAUUUUGUAAAUAUAUCUAAUAAUAGAAAAUGUGGGCAUUUUGUUUACAUUCAUGAUUACAUUUAUAUUAAGAUAUAUCAUGAUUUAUGUGAUGGUUAAUUUUAGGUGUUAAUUUUAGAGUCCUAAUUUUAGGACUCUAUUAAGGUACCCCCAAGUAGUUGGCAAAGCAUUAUAUAUGAGUAUGUCUGUGAGGGUCUUUCCAAAAGCGAUUGUCAUUUGAACUAGCAAACUGAGUAGAAGACCCACCUUCAGCCUAUGUGGAUGGGUACCAUCCAAUCAGCUGGGAGCUCUGAUACAACAAAAAGACUGAAUAAUAA